RNAcentral lists this ribosomal RNA (253 nucleotides) under uncultured bacterium. RNAcentral describes it as "partial 16S ribosomal RNA". It matches the Rfam family "Bacterial small subunit ribosomal RNA", at positions 524 to 776 of the family's 1533-position model. The record is from RNAcentral.
UACGUAGGUGGCAAGCGUUGUCCGGAUUUACUGGGCGUAAAGAGCGCGCAGGCGGUCGUGCAAGUCGCGUGUGAAGGCCCCCGGCUCAACUGGGGAGGGUCACGCGAUACUGCUCGACUUGAAGGCAGGAGAGGGAAGCGGAAUUCCCGGUGUAGUGGUGAAAUGCGUAGAUAUCGGGAGGAACACCAGUGGCGAAGGCGGCUUCCUGGCCUGUUCUUGACGCUGAGGCGCGAAAGCUAGGGUAGCAAACGGG